Molecule: long non-coding RNA, 3307 nt
Organism: Glycine soja
Lineage: Eukaryota; Viridiplantae; Streptophyta; Magnoliopsida; Fabales; Fabaceae
Exons: 10
Source: RefSeq, a predicted model, not a curated record
AAUAGGUUUUUGUUUAUUUUCAUCCCUUUCCUCUCUCGCACUCCUGUAUUUUCACUCUCCCUCAACUACAGCUUUUGGUGCUCCCACUCUUCAACUCCCUUUCACUCUUCCUUCAUGGCCACUUUGCUUCUUCUCUUCUUUGUGUGGCAAUGGUUCAAUCCACGUUUGUGUCUUCUUCUUCCUCUUUGUGCCUUCUCGAGCCACCUUCGUUUCGCUACAAUCUCCAAUCGCAGUGUUCAAUCUUGAUUCCAUCAAAUCCACCUCUUUAGGCACCUCAUUUUUUAGAUUUUUGUUAAUUUCCAUGUGUUGAGGUUGUUUUGUGCUGUGUUUGUUUGUCCCUCUCAAUGUGGGCCUGAAUAUUGGUCCACAUCAACGACCACCAGCAACAUUCUUCGUUUGGGUUAAGGCUGUUUUGGAAGUUAAAAGAAACCCUCACACUUGCCGUUAUCAGCGCUCCCAUUUCUAUUUCUUCUCCCUCACUCACCCUUCUCUGCUUCCGGUGUACAGGAGAAGAAAAAAUGACAUACUUGAGUAUACAAAACCACGCUUAGCAAAAUGGACUGCAAACAUAAGGAGAUUAGAGAUGGUGUUGUGACUCUUGUGAGUCAUCCAAGGGAAUGUGAAUAUCAAAAAAGAUGAGGGGGCACUAUGAGGAUGGGUGUGCACUUUUUAGGAAAAGGUUUGGGGUGUGGAUUCUGCCACUAGGGCAAAGGAGCUUUCUUCUCCGACAUCUUUUUUUUUUUCUGAAUUUCCUUUCUAUGGUAUUUUUUUUUUCAAAUCUCAUAUUAUCAGUUCUGAUUCUGUAUUUUCUAUAAUUCUCUAGUAUAUAUCUAAGUUCCUAUCAAGUAUACUUUCACUAACAAAUAAAACAAUUCCCCUAAAAGACUGGGAGGAAUAUGUCUCUGAAAUUGUAACUGACAUUGAAAAAACAGACCCCAAAAAGGUUUAAUUUUGAUACAGUUUGCUCUGUGAUCUUUUGCAAUGAAUAAAAUGUUGUGUUGAACCUUUAAGUUGGUCAAGUUUAUCGAUUGCCCACCCAAUUGUGUAGUCAACUAAUUUCACGUUUUCGUUGCUUAUUUGGUUUUUUGAGUGGUUUAUGUGGUGUGCAAUGUAUCUUUCAUCUCUUCCUUCAUCUCAUGUGUUAGGUAGUUUCAAGUUGGAGGAAAGCUGUUAGAGCGAAUUAUUGAAGAAAUUGGAUGCAGAAUAAGUGCCUUAUCAAUAUUAUGUUUCAUAGCAAUAGCUUGAAUUGAUGUGGUAAUGUCUUAUUUCCGCAGUGGUCUCUAAUUCUUCUUUCCCUUGAUUGAACCCAAAACAUAGAAUGCAUCUUGGACAAAAGGCAUUUUUCACAUCGAAGGUAUUUUGAUCUGAUUGAUUGUGUGUGAUAGUCAAAUUAACAAUUAUAUUGUAGAGAAAAAUGCAAAUUAGCACAUGCAAGUUUGAGUCACGUGCUUCUUCGUCCUUGACCUUUUAAAAGGUGUAUCUUGUAUUAAAACUUGGCACACUAAUAAUGCUCGUAAAUAUUUGUCUUCUCGUGUUCACACACCACAACAAAAUGGUUUUGUUGAAACAAAGAAUCAAUACUUGGUUGAAACCACUUGUACCCUACUUCACCAUCAUGUUCCUAUUUGCUCCCUGGGUGAUGCACUUCUCGCAACAUGUUAUCCAAUUAAUCGCAUGUUUUCAUCUGUUUUUCACAAGUAGGUUCCCUACUCUAUCUUGUAUUUCAAUAAAAUCUCUACCGUGUUCUUCUCAUUGUCUUUGGUUGCACUAUAAAGUAAACUCUACCAAAUCUCUCAAAUGUAUUUUUUUGGGUUACUCACCACCUCUAAAAGGGUUAUCACACUGAUUUGGUACCUAACUAUGCUCUACAUAAUGCAAUUCUGGAGUGGCAGCAACAGUGAUUCAGUGAACCUUCAUUGGCCAUUACCCUUGAAUUUUAGUCUUCAGUGGCGUUGCUUUGGUUUUCAACCAGAUAAUGUUGUACACUUCUGGAAAUCAAAAUGCUUGGUGCAUCUGUUUUCUAGAGCUAAGAUUGUUGUGUUGUUUCUUUUCAAUGUGAUACCAGCAAGAUUAUUGCAUCAUGGUUUUCUCAUGAGAGGAUAAAAAUUCCUGAACUUAGAAAAUGAAUGGUUCAAAAAAGGAUAUGAAACAACUUUUAUAGAGGAAGAGGAUGUCAAUGUAGAUGAUGUUGCUGUUGCUUUCAAUGAUUCUAAGAUGGCUAGUGAAGAACCCAUAAUAAGAGAUAGUGUUAGCAACUUUAGUGAUGACGAUCAAUGACACAAUUUCAUGAACAUGGUGAACCAAGCAAUCAAAUCAAGAACAAGAGUGACAAGUACGUUGCCAUGUGUAGUCAAUAUGAUAAUGGAUGUUAUUGGAGGGCGAGAGUAUCGUUCAACAAAAUAUGCAAGAGACAGGGGAACCAGUUUGUUAGCAGCUUGACUAUCGGAAUGUGUUGGGUGGAAUGGACCGAAUGUUUUGCCUGUGUAUUACAUUCCCCACAUUGCAUCAAAUUUCAACAAACAGUUUAAAAAUGUUGACUUAAAAAAAGAAGUCAUCAAUAUGAGAUAUGAGAUAAGGAAACUCCAAUUUGAGGCAAAGUUGCUCGCAAUGCGAGCAAAGUUUUCACAAGCAGCAUAUUGAUUAGAUCAAAUAUGACUACCAACCUUGCCGAAUGUAUGACUUCUGUUUUGAAAGGAACUCGAGCAUUACCUAUUACUGCCUUAGUCAAUGAAACAUUUAAUAAAAUAAAUGAUUCAUUUGUUACUAAUGACAUGAAAAUGUUGAAUAUGAUAAAGGUAGGAUAUAGGUACUCUGAAUAUGUAUAUGUCAUGAUGCAAGAAAAUCAACACAUUGCUACCUCGCAUUAUGUUCGCAUGUAUGUUCGAAAAACAAGGGAGUUUAAAGUUCAAGAAAUUGCAAAUAUGCGGCUUGGUCAACGAGCAAUGACAUGCACUGUCAAAUUGAAUGAAUGGUCAUGUGAUUGUGAAUAAUUUCAAGCACUUCGACUACUUUGCUCGCAUGCAAUUGCAGCGUGUGUUUUUUGCAAUUUAAAUUAUGAUGACUUUGUUGACCCUGUAUACAAGUUGGAAAAUAUUUUCAAAGUUUAUCAACAUCACUUUCGAUCCCUUGGAAGUGAAGACACAUGAUCUCAAUAUUUAGGUCCACAUUUUAUGUCUGAUCAUUCGAAACGAUGACAGACAUCAGGCAGGUCGACCACUACUCGAAUACAUAAUGAGAUGAACGAACCAAUUUCAAGUAGACCUAAGAAAUGCUCAUUGUGUAAAAGUGGAGGACAUAAUCGUACUAA